GACGAACGCUGGCGGCGUGCUUAACACAUGCAAGUCGAACGCUGAAGCUCAGCUUUUGUUGGGUGGAUGAGUGGCGAACGGGUGAGUAACACGUGAGUAACCUGCCCCCUUCUUUGGGAUAACGCCCGGAAACGGGUGCUAAUACUGGAUAUUCACUGGUCUUCGCAUGGGGGUUGGUGGAAAGGGUUUUUCUGGUGGGGGAUGGGCUCGCGGCCUAUCAGCUUGUUGGUGGGGUGAUGGCCUACCAAGGCUUUGACGGGUAGCCGGCCUGAGAGGGUGACCGGUCACAUUGGGACUGAGAUACGGCCCAGACUCCUACGGGAGGCAGCAGUGGGGAAUAUUGCACAAUGGGCGCAAGCCUAAUGCAGCGACGCCGCGUGAGGGAUGGAGGCCUUCGGGUUGUGAACCUCUUUCGCUCAUGGUCAAGCCGCAACAAUGGUUGUGGUGAGGGUAGUGGGUAAAGAAGCGCCGGCUAACUACGUG
RNAcentral lists this ribosomal RNA (483 nucleotides) under uncultured bacterium. RNAcentral describes it as "partial 16S ribosomal RNA". It matches the Rfam family "Bacterial small subunit ribosomal RNA", at positions 28 to 507 of the family's 1533-position model. The record is from RNAcentral.